RNAcentral lists this non-coding RNA (24 nucleotides) under Cricetulus griseus (Chinese hamster). Lineage: Eukaryota; Metazoa; Chordata; Mammalia; Rodentia; Cricetidae. The record is from RNAcentral.
UAGUGGUUUAAGUUGAAGGUUGUG